Molecule: long non-coding RNA, 217 nt
Filed under: Elaeis guineensis (African oil palm)
Lineage: Eukaryota; Viridiplantae; Streptophyta; Magnoliopsida; Arecales; Arecaceae
Description: long non-coding RNA (EGUI_LNC065016)
Source: RNAcentral
GUGUGGGAUGUUUUGGAUGUGGUGAAUUAUGUAUGGAGAUUAUAAGUGAUCAAUAAGGGAUCGGUCACUCCUAAUAAAGGGAGCGAACAUCCUAUGUGAUCUCAUAGAUUGAUGAUUCAAAAAAUCUUUGGCCAAAGCAGGCUGAUAAUUAGAAAGAAGUUUCUAAUGUAUCAUCAACUGAAUCAUCACCUUCUGAUCAAGAUGCAUAUAGAUAACC